CCUACGGGCGGCAGCAGUGAGGAAUAUUGGUCAAUGGACGAGAGUCUGAACCCGCCCAGUAGCGUGAAGGCUGACUGCCCUAUGGGUUGUAAACUUCUUUUAUAGAGGAAUAAAACGAGCCACGUGUGCGUUUUUGUAUGUACUUUAUGAAUAAGGAUCGGCUAACUCCGUGCCAGCAGCCGCGGUAAUACGGAGGAUCCGAGCUUUGUCCGGAUUUAUUUGGUUUAAAGGGAGCGUAGAUGGGUUGGUAAGUCAGUUGUGAAAGUUUGCGGCUCAACCGUAAAAUUGCAAUUGAUACUGGCAGUCUUGAGUACAGUUGAGGUAGGCUGAAUUCGUGGUGUAGCGGUGAAAUGCUUAGAUAUCACGAAGAACCCCGAUUGCGAAGGCAGCUUACUAAACUGUAACUGACAUUGAUGCUCGAAAGUGUGGGUAUCAAACAGGAUUAGAUACCCCAGUAGUC
Molecule: ribosomal RNA, 460 nt
Filed under: uncultured bacterium
Lineage: Bacteria
Description: partial 16S ribosomal RNA
Rfam family: Bacterial small subunit ribosomal RNA
Source: RNAcentral